This 883-nucleotide long non-coding RNA is filed under the name Nicotiana tabacum (common tobacco). RNAcentral's name for it is "long non-coding RNA (NTAB_LNC012010)". Lineage: Eukaryota; Viridiplantae; Streptophyta; Magnoliopsida; Solanales; Solanaceae. The record is from RNAcentral.
UCCUUACUCCAUAGCCAGCAGUACAAGUGUAAUUCUUUCAUAAACUAAGAACUAUUAUUUUGCAAUGGCCUUCUGAUAAUGGAUGUUUGUUGCUCAUUUUAAAUGUACUUACACUCCCGCCAAUAACUUAUCUUCCUUCCUUGCAGAUUCCUGCAGAAGAAUCAAAGUGCAUUUUUCCUGUCCAUGUACCAUUCUGCGGAAGGUUUUGAUGUGGCUGACAAGAAACAGGAUAACUGAGUUGGAACUUUUCUUCUCUAGUGUACAUUCUAUAUCACACCUACUAUGUAUAUUCUCUGUUCUCCAAUGCAGAACUAUGUUGUAUUACCAGGGAUGUUACUAGUAAAUUUUGCUGCAUAGUAGCUCGCACAUGUUUUCCUACUUAUUGCCUGUGCAGUGGCUAUUCCAGUGUUCUGGUUGUCCAGCUAAAUCUUUUCUCUUGAAAACAGGUACUUAUGUACCCUACUAACUUGUGUUACAUAUGGGAAAGAAAUUUGCUCUGCAAUAACUAAUAGGAGGUGUCGACAAUGUAAGGUGCAUUGAGUUGUCUUUACAUAAGACGGUAUUUCCUAUUUCAUGGCAUGACAUCUUACGCUCAUCCCUUUAUUCCGUAAAUUAUGUAUUAAGCUUAUAUUAAAUAAUCUAUCUACUUUUACCAUAUCAAAUAGUCUCGAAGUGUAAUUACUUGUAAAAGGUAAAUGCUGCACGAUAGAUUUUUUCUACAAGAUGAUUUUUUUUCCUUUUUGGUGAUGUGGACUGCUAGAUUGGAAAGUAGGUUGAUAAUGAUGCCCAUGAAGUUGUCAUAAAGAUGGCACGAUUGGACACAACGAAACCUAUUUUGCAGAAUGGGCUAGAAGAGUCAUUCAUCAAGUUGGGUUAAGCAAGC